This 655-nucleotide ribosomal RNA is filed under the name uncultured forest soil bacterium. RNAcentral describes it as "bacterial SSU rRNA". It matches the Rfam family "Bacterial small subunit ribosomal RNA", at positions 64 to 767 of the family's 1533-position model. The record is from RNAcentral.
GAGCGCCCCGCAAGGGGAGCGGCAGACGGGAGAGUAACACGUGAGAACGUACCCUUCAGUUCGGAACAACCCAGGGAAACUUGGGCUAAUACCGAAUACGUCCGUAAGGAGAAAGAUUUAUCGCUGAAGGAUCGGCCCGCGUCUGAUUAGCUAGUUGGUGAGGUAACGGCUCACCAAGGCUACGAUCAGUAGCUGGUCUGAGAGGAUGAUCAGCCUCACUGGGACUGAGACACGGCCCAGACUCCUACGGGAGGCAGCAGUGGGGAAUAUUGGACAAUGGGCGCAAGCCUGAUCCAGCCAUGCCGCGUGGAUGAUGAAGGCCCUAGGGUUGUAAAGUCCUUUCGGCGGGGAAGAUAAUGACGGUACCCGCAGAAGAAGCCCCGGCUAACUUCGUGCCAGCAGCCGCGGUAAUACGAAGGGGGCUAGCGUUGCUCGGAAUCACUGGGCGUAAAGCGCACGUAGGCGGCUUUUUAAGUCAGGGGUGAAAUCCUGGAGCUCAACUCCAGAACUGCCUUUGAUACUGAGAGGCUUGAGUCCGGGAGAGGUGAGUGGAACUGCGAGUGUAGAGGUGAAAUUCGUAGAUAUUCGCAAGAACACCAGUGGCGAAGGCGGCUCACUGGCCCGGUACUGACGCUGAGGUGCGAAAGCGUGGGGA